Molecule: long non-coding RNA, 180 nt
Organism: Impatiens glandulifera
Lineage: Eukaryota; Viridiplantae; Streptophyta; Magnoliopsida; Ericales; Balsaminaceae
Exons: 2
Source: RefSeq, a predicted model, not a curated record
ACUAGCUGAUAUGGAGACAUGCCGCUUGCGGAGUGAAAAUUGGUGUUAUACCACCAUUCGGCUAAGGGUAACCAUUUACUCCAUAAGUGCGGUCUUUGGCUAAUCAUGCAUCUCAAGAAGAAGUUUAUUAUUAGGAGAAAGAGACUUGCUUAUGAAUGCUAUGGGUUGCCGUUUCUGAAU